Caenorhabditis elegans is the source of this 272-nucleotide non-coding RNA. Lineage: Eukaryota; Metazoa; Nematoda; Chromadorea; Rhabditida; Rhabditidae. The record is from Ensembl.
CGUGCACGGCCACCACCACGAGCACACUCCGGGAGACACGGAGCAAAAGAACAUUGAGAAAGGCCCUUGGUUUUAGGGAGCGAGCAAGACCAAAACGAAGUGCACUCGUAGCGGCCGCCUUAAAUUAAAGAAAUAGUUAGGGAAAUCAAAAGGAUAGGAAAGGUAAGAAAGAAGAAGCAAAGAGUAAGGGAGAAGUACAAAAAUAAAAAUUGAGAUUUUAAAGAACAUUUGAGGAUAUUGAAUUGAAUAUGAAGGGAGAUUCAAAUUGAAAA